UCCAUUCCUCAUUUGUUUUUAUAGAACUUUUUGAUGUGUGUGUUUUGUGCUAGGGAUUCCAACAUUGAGCCAAAUUGAGGAACCAUUACCAUGAGCUUCCAAGAGAGAGAGAUCCAAGAUGCAUUGAGGGGAUUUCCGAGGGUUCAUUUGAUUGUUGAUUGCUUGAGUUUAUGCUUAUGUGAUUGCUUAUUCCAAAGGAUGGGAGCUAGUUGGAUCAUCAAUAUGAUCUCAAGAGAGGAACUCCAUUGUGG
Molecule: long non-coding RNA, 251 nt
Filed under: Lathyrus oleraceus (garden pea)
Lineage: Eukaryota; Viridiplantae; Streptophyta; Magnoliopsida; Fabales; Fabaceae
Description: Pisum sativum (pea) long non-coding RNA (PSAT_LNC005482)
Source: RNAcentral